This 505-nucleotide ribosomal RNA is filed under the name uncultured bacterium. RNAcentral describes it as "partial 16S ribosomal RNA". It matches the Rfam family "Bacterial small subunit ribosomal RNA", at positions 28 to 507 of the family's 1533-position model. The record is from RNAcentral.
GACGAACGCUGGCGGCGUGCCUAAUACAUGCAAGUAGAACGCACAGUUUAUACUGUUGCUUGCUUCACGAUAGACGGUGAGGUGCGAACGGGUGGUUAACGCGGAGCUUACCUUCCUGGUAGCGGGUGGUAACUAUUGGAAACAAUAGCUAAUAUCUCAUAAUACUGAUUGUUGCAUGAUAAUUGACUGAAAUAUGCUAUUGCAUCACUGCCACAUGGCCCUGCGUUGUAUUAGCUAGUAGGUGAGGUUACGGCUCACCUAGGGGACGAUACAUAGCCGACCUGAGAGGGUGGUCAGCCACACUGGGACUGAGACACGGCACAGACUCCUAAGGGAAGGAGCCGUAGGGAAUCUUCGGGAAUGGGCGGAAGUCUGACCGAGCAACGCCGAGGGAGUGUAGAAGGUUUUCGGAUCGUAAAGCUCUGUUGUAAGAGAAGAAAGGGUGUUGGAGUGGAAAGUUCACACUGUGACGGUAUCUUACCAGAAAGCGACGGCUAACUACGUG